CCUACGGGAGGCAGCAGUGAGGAAUAUUGGUCAAUGGACGCAAGCCUGAACCAGCCACGCCGCGUGCAGGAAGACGGCUCUCUGAGUUGUAAACUGCUUUUGUACGAGGGUAAACGCAGAUACGCGUAUCUGUCUGAACGUAUCGUACGAAUAAGGAUCGGCUAACUCCGUGCCAGCAGCCGCGGUAAUACGGAGGAUUCAAGCGUUAUCCGGAUUUAUUGGGUUUAAAGGGUGCGUAGGCGGUCGGAUAAGUUAGAUGUGAAAUCCCGAGGCUCAACUUCGGAAUUGCCUCUGAUACUGUUCGGCUAGAGAGUAGUAGCGGUAGGCGGAAUGUAUGGUGUAGCGGUGAAAUGCUUAGAGAUCAUACAGAACACCGAUUGCGAAGGCAGCUUACCAAGCUACUUCUGACGUUGAGGCACGAAAGCGUGGGGAGCAAACAGGAUUAGAUACCCGAGUAGUC
This 460-nucleotide ribosomal RNA is filed under the name uncultured bacterium. RNAcentral's name for it is "partial 16S ribosomal RNA". It matches the Rfam family "Bacterial small subunit ribosomal RNA", at positions 338 to 795 of the family's 1533-position model. The record is from RNAcentral.